Molecule: ribosomal RNA, 200 nt
Filed under: Staphylococcus aureus
Lineage: Bacteria; Bacillati; Bacillota; Bacilli; Caryophanales; Staphylococcaceae
Description: partial 23S ribosomal RNA
Rfam family: Bacterial large subunit ribosomal RNA
Source: RNAcentral
UUCAUAGAGUGUAAAGGCAUAAGGGAGCUUGACUGCGAGACCUACAAGUCGAGCAGGGUCGAAAGACGGACUUAGUGAUCCGGUGGUUCCGCAUGGAAGGGCCAUCGCUCAACGGAUAAAAGCUACCCCGGGGAUAACAGGCUUAUCUCCCCCAAGAGUUCACAUCGACGGGGAGGUUUGGCACCUCGAUGUCGGCUCAU